This is a long non-coding RNA of Mauremys mutica (yellowpond turtle), 456 nucleotides long. RefSeq lists it as uncharacterized. NCBI's taxonomy places the organism in Eukaryota, Metazoa, Chordata, Testudines, Geoemydidae. The transcript is spliced from 4 exons. The record is from RefSeq and is a predicted model, not a curated record.
GCAGGGUGUAAUGCAUUCGGUUGUCAAUCAGCACUUCACCUAGGUAAAGUCUCUCUCCUGUCUGGUGAUUUACAGAGGCUCACAAUGCAACUAGUCGGAUAUUAACCCAGGCAGAAACUAUCAAGCAUUUAAUGAAGUCUAAACAUGUUCUUAUAGUCCUAAUACCUGUUUUGACAAUACUAACACAGGCUACAGAUUAACGUCCACGUUUUGCUCCAGAUCAUCCCGUCCUCCCAGGGGGAAGGAAAUGGCUGCAAUGGAGCUGGCUCAGGGGCCGGUGACCUUCGAGGAGGUGGCUGUGUAUUUCACCAAGGGGGAAUGGGCACUACUGGACUCUGUUCACAGAGCCCUCUACAGGGAUGUCAUGCAGGAGAACUAUGAGACGGUGACCUCGCUGGGGUUUCUAAAUUCCAAACCUGAUGUGGUCUCACAGCUGGAACGAGGGGAAGAGCCGUG